RNAcentral lists this ribosomal RNA (789 nucleotides) under uncultured bacterium. RNAcentral describes it as "bacterial SSU rRNA". It matches the Rfam family "Bacterial small subunit ribosomal RNA", at positions 45 to 846 of the family's 1533-position model. The record is from RNAcentral.
AGUCGACGAAGAUACUUAAAAUGAGAGCUUCGGCAGGAUUUUUAUUUAUCUUAGUGGCGGACGGGUGAGUAACGUGUGGGCAACCUGCCCUAUACUGGGGAAUAAUCACUGGAAACGGUGACUAAUACCGCAUGUCAUUACGGAAGGGCAUCCUUCUGUAAGAAAAGGAGUAAUUCGGUAUAGGAUGGGCCCGCAUCUGAUUAGCUAGUUGGUGAGAUAACAGCCCACCAAGGCGACGAUCAGUAGCCGACCUGAGAGGGUGAUCGGCCACAUUGGGACUGAGACACGGCCCAAACUCCUACGGGAGGCAGCAGUGGGGAAUAUUGCACAAUGGGGGAAACCCUGAUGCAGCAACGCCGCGUGAAGGAAGAAGGUUUUCGGAUCGUAAACUUCUAUCAACAGGGACGAAGAAAGUGACGGUACCUGAAUAAGAAGCCCCGGCUAACUACGUGCCAGCAGCCGCGGUAAUACGUAGGGGGCAAGCGUUAUCCGGAAUUACUGGGUGUAAAGGGAGCGUAGGCGGCACGCCAAGCCAGAUGUGAAAGCCCGAGGCUUAACCUCGCGGAUUGCAUUUGGAACUGGCGAGCUAGAGUACAGGAGAGGAAAGCGGAAUUCCUAGUGUAGCGGUGAAAUGCGUAGAUAUUAGGAAGAACACCAGUGGCGAAGGCGGCUUUCUGGACUGAAACUGACGCUGAGGCUCGAAAGCGUGGGGAGCAAACAGGAUUAGAUACCCUGGUAGUCCACGCCGUAAACGAUGAGUGCUAGGUGUCGGGGAGGAAUCCUCGGUGC